This 497-nucleotide ribosomal RNA is filed under the name uncultured bacterium. Its description in RNAcentral is "partial 16S ribosomal RNA". It matches the Rfam family "Bacterial small subunit ribosomal RNA", at positions 28 to 507 of the family's 1533-position model. The record is from RNAcentral.
GAUGAACGCUGUCGGCGUGCCUAAUACAUGCAAGUCGAGCGAACGGACGAGAAGCUUGCUUCUCUGAUGUUAGCGGCGGACGGGUGAGUAACACGUGGAUAACCUACCUAUAAGACUGGGAUAACUUCGGGAAACCGGAGCUAAUACCGGAUGAUAUUUUGAACCGCAUGGUUCAAAAGUGAAAGACGGUCUUGCUGUCACUUAUAGAUGGAUCCGCGCUGCAUUAGCUAGUUGGUAAGGUAACGGCUUACCAAGGCAACGAUGCAUAGCCGACCUGAGAGGGUGAUCGGCCACACUGGAACUGAGACACGGUCCAGACUCCUACGGGAGGCAGCAGUAGGGAAUCUUCCGCAAUGGGCGAAAGCCUGACGGAGCAACGCCGCGUGAGUGAUGAAGGUCUUCGGAUCGUAAAACUCUGUUAUUAGGGAAGAACAUAUGAGUAAGUAACUGUGCACAUCUUGACGGUACCUAAUCAGAAAGCCACGGCUAACUACGUG